Molecule: ribosomal RNA, 620 nt
Filed under: uncultured Verrucomicrobiota bacterium
Lineage: Bacteria; Pseudomonadati; Verrucomicrobiota
Description: bacterial SSU rRNA
Rfam family: Bacterial small subunit ribosomal RNA
Source: RNAcentral
UAGCCUGGUAGCAAUACUAGGUUGAGCCAGUGGCGAACGGGUGCGUAACACGUGAGUCAUCUGCCUGAAAGUGGGGGAUAGCUCGCCGAAAGGCGAAUUAAUACCGCAUGUGCCCCGAAGCAAUUCGGGGUAAAGCCGGGGCAACCUGGCGCUUUUAGAUGAGCUCGCGGCCUAUCAGCUUGUUGGUAAGGUAACGGCUUACCAAGGCUUCGACGGGUAGCUGGUCUGAGAGGACGACCAGCCACACUGGAACUGAGACACGGUCCAGACACCUACGGGUGGCAGCAGUCGAGAAUUUUUCUCAAUGGGGGAAACCCUGAAGGAGCGACGCCGCGUGGAGGAUGAAGGCUUUCGGGUUGUAAACUCCUGUCAUUUGGGAACAAUACCUUACGUUAACUGCGUGGAGGUUUGAUAGUACCAGAAGAGGAAGAGACGGCUAACUCUGUGCCAGCAGCCGCGGUAAUACAGAGGUCUCGAGCGUUGUUCGGAUUCAUUGGGCGUAAAGGGCGCGUAGGCUGCGGGGCAAGUCGGGUGUGAAAUCUCAGAGCUCAACUCUGAAACUGCACUCGAUACUGCUUUGCUAGAGGACUGGAGAGGAGAUUGGAAUUCACGGUGUAGCA